GAUGAAGAACGUAGCGAAAUGCGAUAAGUAAUGUGAAUUGCAGAAUUCAGUGAAUCAUCGAAUCUUUGAACGCACAUUGCGCCCCUUGGUAUUCCGAGGGGCAUGCCUGUUCGAGCGUCAUAUAAACCACUCCCGCUUGCGGGGUCUUGGGCUUCGCCUCCGGGCGGGCCUUAAAAUCAGUGGCGGUGCCGUCGGGCUCUACGCGUAGUAAAUUUUCUCGCGAUAGGGUCCCGGUGGAUGCUUGCCAACAACCCCCAACUUCUUAAGGUUGACCUCGGAUCAGGUAGGGAUACCCGCUGAACUUAAGCAUAUCAAUAAGCGGAGGA
RNAcentral lists this unclassified non-coding RNA (326 nucleotides) under soil metagenome. Its description in RNAcentral is "partial contains 5.8S ribosomal RNA, internal transcribed spacer 2, and large subunit ribosomal RNA". The stretch from base 1 to 120 matches the Rfam family "5.8S ribosomal RNA", at positions 35 to 154 of the family's 154-position model. The record is from RNAcentral.